Molecule: long non-coding RNA, 537 nt
Filed under: Vulpes vulpes (red fox)
Lineage: Eukaryota; Metazoa; Chordata; Mammalia; Carnivora; Canidae
Description: lncRNA (ENSVVUG00000003208.1)
Source: RNAcentral
UACAACUGUAAAUGUGACCCCUUGUUUUCACUCUCCCUCUUCCACCUCUAACAGCAUCCCCAUCAGCCUCCUCCCUCUAACCACCUCCUAUUCCCUAUGAUGAAAACCGCCGGGUCAGAAAUGAAAUCUCAUGGGAAGUUUGAAUAGAACUCAGGCCCGGUUGGCUGCAGGGAAAUAAGGCAGAGCUGCAUAAGCUGCACGAGAAACAAAAGUCUGCAUUUCUGGAGACUUGGCGGAAACUGGUUGGAGAGCUUUACCCCUCAUGAUGUAGAGAGCAUUUCGUCUAAGCAGUUGGGGAUGAGCCAGUGUUGAUGACAUUGUGAGUGCUGUUUGUAGAAGUUGCUAGCACCUUGGAGACAGAAAGACCAAGGUUCAAGUUCUGUCUGUGACAUCUACUAUUUCUGUAAGUCUUGAUAAAUCACUUAACGUCUGAGAGCUGUAAUUCCUCAUUUACCAAAUGGCCAUGCCAAAAUGUGCCUACCUCCCAGAGGGGUGGUGCUAAUCAAAUGUGAUGAUAUGUGUGACAGCAACCUGUAA